This 72-nucleotide transfer RNA is filed under the name Camelus dromedarius (Arabian camel). It matches the Rfam family "tRNA". From Rfam's summary of the family: Transfer RNA (tRNA) molecules are approximately 80 nucleotides in length. Their secondary structure includes four short double-helical elements and three loops (D, anti-codon, and T loops). Lineage: Eukaryota; Metazoa; Chordata; Mammalia; Artiodactyla; Camelidae. The record is from Rfam by way of RNAcentral. RNAcentral also lists the same sequence under 1 other name.
GAGGGCAUAGCUCAGUGGAAGAGCGCUUGCUUAGCAUGCGCAAGGUCCUGGGUUCAAUCCCUGGUACCUCCA